GUUUUUGCUGUUUUGAUAGGCAGGGAAUACAAGAUAAACCUUUAUCAGUGCUAGCCACCUUGCAACACUGAACAUUAAGAAUUGACAGAGCUCUGGGUUCAACCUCCCAAAAGUGCUACAGAGCACACAGCUCCAGUUUCCAUGCUUUUCCCCAAAAGCACAGCUACCUUCUCCUCCUGCCUUCUCCGUUGCUCUUUUUGGAGAUGAAACCAAAGUACCUCACAGUCUUGUUGAAUGUUCUCAAGAUCUCAUAUCUUUUGGUUUCAUUGUAGUCUCCCAUUUGCAGCCAAACCUGCUUUAUCAUACAAAGUAAGAUAAAUUUCCAGGAAGAAGAGAAAAACAGCAAAAGAAAAAAAAUACUAUUCAUGGUGCUGAAGUCAAAAAGUCCAGGCAUGGUCAGGUUCCUGCACAAAAGAAGAAGACUAAAUAUUGCUCAUAUGCAAAUAAUCAAGAAUCAGAAGAAAAUAAACUGGAAGUCAGAAUAAACCAUGGUUAUUGCUAAGAAGAAAAGUCAAAGCCAAGAAAGAGAAAGAUCUCAGGAACAAACAUACAAUAAAGAAUUUCAAAGAGUAUUAGAAGAUACAAGAAGCAAUAUUACAGCAAUAUCUGGAAAACACUAAAGAUGGAAACAGACAUGGAAAAACAAGGAAAUUCUUUCAGAACAAUAUCUGAACUCAGAAGGUUCCAAUCUCAAAUUGGUAAGCUAAAUAAUGCCAAUUGAUUGAUAACAGUUGAUUCAAAAAUCAAACAAAGAUGGAAGGAUGAUACUGAAAUUUUGUACAGUAAAGAUGUCAACAUCUAAGAUAUUUUUAAAAGUAUUUCCUACUUAAGAGAACCUUUAAAGUUAAAAAUAAAGUUAGAUCAGCACUCUGAUCAUUGCCAUGUUGGCAGCUACAGGAACUGAUGGAAUAGCAACAGAAAUAUGGGUAGCAACAGAAGAAGAAUCAGUAAAAUGACCGAGGCAUGUCUAAGAUAUGUCAUCAAACCUAGAAAAUGAUACGAUGGUCAAAAAAUUGGAAAAGAUCAAUUUACACAACAAUACCAAACAAAAUGGAUGAAUUAUUGUAUUAUAUCUUUAAUUUCACAUGCUAACAAAAUAACAUUUAGUAUCAUGCAACACAGAUUAAGCCCUAUAUGGAGAGAUGCCAAAUGUUCAAGCUGGCUUUAGAAAAGGCCAAGGAACAUAAUGCAUUAUCUUGAUGUAGGCGAAAAUUAAAGAAUACCCCCCAAAAAAUGUUAGCAUGUGCGUCAUUGAUUGCAGAAAAGCCUCAGUUGUGUUCAUCAUGCCAAGAUGCGGACUGUGGUUAGAAAAAUGGGUAUCUCAGAACAUCUUUCUGUCCUCACAUAAACCUUCUACAUACCUCAGGAAGCCACAGUAUGGAGAUAAUAUAAAUUACUCCAAGUUGCCAUAGAAGUAAGAUAAGGCUCUAUCAGCUCCCCUUAUUCCCGGGGUUCCCAACCCCUGGUCCGUGGACCGGUAUCGAGCUGCAGCAUGCCAACAACGGUCUGCACAAACAAGCAAAGCCCCAUCCUUGGGAUGCAGGCAGCACACAAAACCUCACAUUCCUUAGUCCACAGAAAAACUUUUCUCCACGGAACUGGUCCCUGGUGCCCAAAAGGUUGGAGACCUCUGCCUUAUUCAACCUACAUGCAGAAUAUAUUUUGAUAAAAGCUAGAUUGAAAGAUGAUUGUGGCUUUAAAACUGGAAGACAUAUCAAUAACUUGUGCUAUAGUGAUGAAGUGACUCUGAUAGCAUGCAAGUGAUCCACAAGCUCCAGUAAGGAAAAUUAAGGAGAAUAGUAAAAACAAACAAACAGGGGAGUCAGAUUAAAUAUAAAGGAGGCCAAGGUAAUGACAACAGGUCCAGCAAGGAGUCUUAGAAUUGACAAUAAAGAUAAUGAAGUAAUGUAUACCUCCUGCCUUUUAAGAUUAACUAUCAACAGUAAAAUAAAUACACUACAUACUUGGAAUGAAGAUAUUAGGAAGAUAUUCAGAUGCCAGGAUGUAUCUAUAACAGCAGUAGUUUUCUCUGUAACACUCUAUGGAAAAUAAUGCUGGACUUUGAAGAAGUGGGAUAGAAAGAUUACAGGUAGUCCUUGACUUAUGAGCACAAUCGAGACCAAAUUUCCAUUGCUAAGCAAGACAGUUGUUAAGUGAGUUGUGCCCCAUUUUGCAACAUUUUUUUUAUCAUAGUUAAAGAAAUUACUGCAGUUGUUAAGUAAAUCUGGCUUCCCCCACUGCUUUGCUUGUCAGAAGCCAGUUGGGAAGGUUACAAAUGACAAAUACAUGAUUCCAGGGCAAUGCAAUUGUCAUACAUGCUAGUUGCCAAGCCUCAGAAUUUUGAUGAUCACAUGAGUGUGGGGCUGUCACAAUGGUUGGAAGUGUGAAAAUAAGGUCAUAAGUCACUUUUUUCAGUGCUGUUGUAACUUUGAAUGAUCAUUAAACAAAUAACUGUUAAGUCAA
This is a long non-coding RNA of Crotalus tigris (Tiger rattlesnake), 2463 nucleotides long. RefSeq lists it as uncharacterized. The record is from RefSeq and is a predicted model, not a curated record. Lineage: Eukaryota; Metazoa; Chordata; Lepidosauria; Squamata; Viperidae. The transcript has 2 exons.